AGGUUCCGGUUCUGUGGUGAUCUGGACUGUCCCGACUGGGUCCUGGCAGAAAUCAGCACGCUGGCCAAGAUGGUUAAGUGCACAGGGUCUACACUGGGUGGAGGAGGGGUGUUGGGCUGGGGAUUGUGGCUGUAGAGGAUGGUGAGGUUUCUCUGGGGCUAGGGCCUCAGUGCUCUCAGCCUGUGCUGCCAUGCUUUGUGACCUUGAUCAGUGGCUGGCCUGCUCUGAGCCUGUCCCCAGGAAGGAGGGGUGAGGUUUGCCAGCCUGGCUGAUGUAAGGACUUCCCUUCCAGUCCUCUGUGAAGUUGCGGCUGCUCUGCAGCCAGGUACUAAAGGAGCUGCUGGGACAGGGGAUUGAUUAUGAGAAGAUCCUGAAGCUCACGGCUGACGCCAAGUUUGGUGAGUAUCCCGCUGAGUCUAUAAGCCCCAGGCAACCCUGGGAACUUGGCCUGGUGCCUGGUACAGAGUGGCCCCCCACCCCUCCCAGCAGCAUCCUUAACUUACCUUCCCUAGUGGAGGAGCAUGAGGGAAAGAAAGACCGACAGUCCCACCUUCCUGUCCUCUGUCAGCUCCUGGUGGAGCAGUAGCAGUGCCUGUGGCUCCAGGAGGCCUGGGGGCUUUGAGCUAAAGUUAAUAGGGCAACAGGGAGGUGGCUGGACCCACAGUGACACCCCCUGCCCCACCCACGGGUCCCUCAGAGUCAGGCGAUGUGAAGGCCACAGUGGCAGUGCUGAGUUUCAUCCUCUCCAGUGCGGCCAAGCACAGUGUCGAUGGCGAAUCCUUGUCCAGUGAACUGCAGCAGCUGGGGCUGCCCAAAGGUACGGGUUGUGGGUUGGCAGCUGGGCAGCCUGUCGGCCAAGGGCUGCUAGAGAGGGGACAGGCCCUGAGGUGUACCCUGCCCUGUUUGGGCCAGGAGCCCAAGCCCAGCCCCCACCUGCUACCUCCAGAGCUUCUCCAUUCUACCCCCAGAGCACGCGGCCAGCCUGUGCCGCUGUUAUGAGGAGAAGCAAAGCCCCUUGCAGAAGCACUUGCGGGUCUGCAGCCUACGCAGUAAGUAUGAGGCCAGCCAGGGUCCGGGCUCAUUCUAGAAGGUGCACGCAGCACGCAAAGUGCAUGGAGAGUCCAGGGAGACGACUUAACCACGGUCACAUGGUUACUAGCAGCCGUAGAGCUGGGACCUGGCCCUGGGUCUCCUGACUCCCCCCAAGGUUUCUUGUCACUGAGGUCUGCUGUGGGUGAUGCGAACUGAUUAUCGGGCACCUGCCCUGUUCUGAGCCUGGGUCAGCAGGAUGGGAGCUUCUUAGAGGCCACAUAGCCUUGAAUGGUUGAGAGCUGAGCCAGGGUGUCGGCUGAGGUCUACUUGGCUUGCCUGCUUUGAUCCUGAGAGCCACCCACCCCAUCUCACAGUGAAUAGGUUGGCAGGUGUGGGCUGGCGGGUGGACUACACCCUGAGCUCCAGCCUGCUGCAAUCCGUGGAAGAGCCCAUGGUGCACCUGCGGCUGGAGGUGGCAGCUGCCCCAGGGACCCCAGCCCAGCCUGUUGCCAUGUCCCUCUCAGCAGACAAGUUCCAGAUCCUCCUGGCAGAACUGAAGCAGGCCCAGACCCUGAUGAGCUCCCUGGGCUGAGGAGAAGGGUGUUCCAGGCCUGUGUGGAGCCGCCCUGCCCAUAUGGAGUCACGCCCUCUGAACUGCUCUUCGGGAGGCAGCCCUGGUUCUAGGAUGCUGAGGCCCUGGCCCGGACUCUGGCCUCCCAGAUCCCCAGCUGCCUCACUUCUCUCUUGAGAACUUGGCUCAGGGCUCCUGAGGACCUUUCCCAGCAUUACCUUCCCUUCCCUUGAAAGGCAAUUGUUGGCUGUUUUCAUAAGCAGGAAAAAUAAACAGAAGUAUAAC
Molecule: small RNA, 1888 nt
Filed under: Pan troglodytes (chimpanzee)
Lineage: Eukaryota; Metazoa; Chordata; Mammalia; Primates; Hominidae
Description: retained intron
Source: RNAcentral